CGAGCGAGUGCCGCCGAGGCGGUGGCCUGAGAUUCUUCUGAAAUUCUUUCUUUGGUGAGGAUCAUCAGAAGGAAGCACAGGAUUUGCUCUCAAAGAGUGG
This is a long non-coding RNA of Neomonachus schauinslandi (Hawaiian monk seal), 100 nucleotides long. RefSeq lists it as uncharacterized. The transcript is spliced from 3 exons. NCBI's taxonomy places the organism in Eukaryota, Metazoa, Chordata, Mammalia, Carnivora, Phocidae. The record is from RefSeq and is a predicted model, not a curated record.